CCCUUAGACGUUCUGGGCCGCACGCGCGCUACACUGACCAGUGCAACAAGCAUCCGUCCUUGGCCGACAGGCCCGGGCAAUCUUUGAACGCUGGUCGUGAUGGGGAUAGACUUUUGCAAUUUUUGGUCUUCAACGAGGAAUUCCUAGUAAACGCAAGUCAUCAACUUGCAUUGAUUACGUCCCUGCCCUUUGUACACACCGCCCGUCGCACCUACCGAUUGAAUGAUCCGGUGAAGCCUCCGGAUUGGCGCGCACCUCGGUGCCGCCGAGAAGUUGGCUAAACCUUACCAUUUAGAGGAAGGUGAAGUCGUAACA
This 315-nucleotide ribosomal RNA is filed under the name uncultured eukaryote. RNAcentral's name for it is "partial 18S ribosomal RNA". It matches the Rfam family "Eukaryotic small subunit ribosomal RNA", at positions 1470 to 1796 of the family's 1831-position model. The record is from RNAcentral.